AGUUGUAUUGCGGGUGACUUUUG
RNAcentral lists this non-coding RNA (23 nucleotides) under Arabidopsis thaliana (thale cress). The record is from RNAcentral. Lineage: Eukaryota; Viridiplantae; Streptophyta; Magnoliopsida; Brassicales; Brassicaceae.